GACCGUAGCCGAAAAACAGAAGGCUUGGAAGAUGCUGAGUAAAGAAUAAUAUAACGCCAACACCACUUAUGUACCCAGAACUACUGAGAAUUUACUGGUAGGUACAAAAACCUGAAAACAAAGACGAAAAAACAGCACUCAAGUGAAAAAAUGCAGAUCUCAAAUAUACCUAGAUAGCAAAGUUUUACACGCGUCUGUAGUUCAGACAGUGGAGCUCCAUGGACAAGACUGGGAAACGGUUUCGGCUGAUGUUAAUCUCCCCCCCGAGGAAUGCCAAACAACAUUCAAUAUUUUAAGUAAAGAAGCGAAACCAUCAUCAAGCAAAAUAAAACAACAAGCCAUAUUUUAAGAUUUAGGUAUAUAAUAUACAGUGGUAAUUAAUAAUAAUAAACAUGUUUUUAAAUCAACUGGUGUUUGGUACUGGUGACGCUAUAACCUUGCAAAAUAGUUAUUGAUCAGCGAAGUUCUUGCAUUGUUCCCAGACUGUAAGGCACGAGGAGGUUGGUCUAUAUAGAUUGUUGGGGUAUUUUUUGUAAGACGAAAGCUUUUAAUAAAUUCAUCAUCUCGAUAAGCACGAAACAAAUCUGUUAUUUUAGUAGUUAACCCUCCUAUAAAAGUAAGGGGUAUUCAAAUAUUCAAUCAUUUCUUUAUC
Plutella xylostella (diamondback moth) is the source of this 652-nucleotide long non-coding RNA. RefSeq lists it as uncharacterized. The record is from RefSeq and is a predicted model, not a curated record. NCBI's taxonomy places the organism in Eukaryota, Metazoa, Arthropoda, Insecta, Lepidoptera, Plutellidae.